Molecule: long non-coding RNA, 1007 nt
Filed under: Apteryx haastii (Great spotted kiwi)
Lineage: Eukaryota; Metazoa; Chordata; Aves; Apterygiformes; Apterygidae
Description: lncRNA (ENSAHAG00000018578.1)
Source: RNAcentral
CUCAUCCUCGUCCCCAUCCUCAUCCUCGUCCCCAUCCCCAUCCCCGUCCCCGUCCUCAUCCUUGUCCUCGUCCCCGUCCCCAUCUCCAUCCUCGUCCUUGUCCCCGUCCCCGCGCCGCCGUGCAGCAGGCCCCUGCGCCCACGCAGGAACGGCCGCUGCCGCCCCAAAGCGCCGGGCUCUGCCGCCGGCCCCGACCCCCUUCCCCGAGCGGCUCCCGAAGCCCCCGCGCACUCACCGCAGCCCCCGGCUCCGCGCAACCGUCCCCCCGCGGUGGCGGCCAGUGUCCGGCGGCGCCGGCAGACAGCCUGGUGCCAGGAGGGGCUUAAUGAGGGUGGCGGGUUCGGGGGGGGGGGCACGUGCUCGCCCCUCCGACGGGAUCGCGGCUUAACCCUUCCCCUGCCGCUCCUCCGCCGCGGCCCCGGGGGGGGGGGUGAAAGCGCUUGGAGGGGAAGGGGGCGAGGGAGCCGGCGGGACCCCUGCCCCCGUCUGCCUGCCCGUCCGCCCAUCCGUCCACCCCUCUGUCCUCUCCAGCCUCUCCAUCCAUCCACCCCUCCCUCUUCUGCACCUUUCCGGCCAUCCACCUGCCCCUCCAUUUGUCCUCUCCAUGCAUCCAGCCCUCUGACCACCCUUCCACCUUCUCCGUCCAUCCAUCUGCCUCUCCAUUCUCUCCACUCAUCCGUCCAUCCAUGCACCCAUCCAUCUGCCACUCCAUUGACUUGUCCAUCCAUCCCUCCAUCUUCUCCAUCCAUCCAUCCAUCCAUCAACCCCAUGUGUCCUCUCCAGCCAGCCAGCCAUCUGACCACCCCUUCAUCCUCUCCAUCCAUCCAUCUAUCCCUCCAUUCUCUACAUCCAUCCAUCCAUGUACCCAUCCAUCUCUCCCUCCAAGCACCCAUCCGCCCACUCCUCCGUCUUCUCCACCCAUCUGUCCAACCAACCACCCCUCCAUUCUCUCCAUCCACCCAUCCAUCCUUGCACCCAUCCCUCUGUCCCUCCNNNNNNNNNNNNNN